Molecule: long non-coding RNA, 209 nt
Filed under: Elaeis guineensis (African oil palm)
Lineage: Eukaryota; Viridiplantae; Streptophyta; Magnoliopsida; Arecales; Arecaceae
Description: long non-coding RNA (EGUI_LNC064587)
Source: RNAcentral
CUCUUUAUGUAAAGUAUAUUUAAAGCUUUAUUUACUCAUUAAAGGAGCUACAUCUAUAUUUCUAUGCAAUUAACUAUUAUACUUCUUUUGAGUUGUUAUUUUUAUUUGGAAGAUUUUCAAAACGUGAAAAGAUUGAUCCGAACCUUGAAUCAGAUUGUAUUGGGUUGAUUUGUAUUCAAAAAAUAAGUAUUCUAGCUUGGAAUAGCUAG